UGGAAGUCUAACUCAACAUGUUCAGCUAGUUAUCCCCUUCUUAUGAGAUGUUGUUUAAUUAUUAAUGUUAACCGGUUUAAUUGUGCAACUAUCAACAUAAGCUAACGUUAGCGAGCUGAGCUAGCGAGCUAUGCUAGCGCUUCUGCAUGCUAAUAGGACCGUGACGAGACGAGGAUGAGGACGACACUGUUCCAUUGGAGAAAAUCAGUCUUGUCACUGGAUUUUUGAGAAAAUUCAUAGAAGCACAGGGAAAGGAGAAGACAUAAAUGUGAAUGUUUGACAGAAACGGUAAAGGCCAGCUCCCUCUGAGAUGAUAUGAAACACAAAUUCACAUAAAAUUGGUAAAUGAAACUUCACUUUGUUUACAUUCCACAGUAUUUAAAGCAAUCAUUUGGAGGUUCUAAACUAGGAGAGGAAAAGAGACUACAGGGAUUUUACUUUUGUAAAGUUUGUACUUAAGCACUGUGAUAUUUUGAAGUGUAGCACCAUCUUGUAUUUGUCAUCUGUUUUGAAGCCCUGUCUAAACAGCAAGCAUUGCUGAUGGGUUAUCUUUCCUUGAGUAUGUAAGAGUGCAAUAACUGACUUUGUUGAAAAGAUAAUCUUAUGAGAGAAUCGUUACUUCAUAUUUUUUGAAUGAUCUCCUAUGUAAAGUUUGAGGGGUCAGUACAAUUUUCCUUCUCUUCCAUAGCAUCAACAGAUGGUCAGGUAAUGCUCUGGAUCACGGUCUACAAGGGAUCAAAUAAACAUUUCAUGUCAGGAUUGAAACUUUUAUUAAAUGUUGCAAAGUGAUUUUUUUAUGAAUGAAUGAUCCAUUUCUGUCACAUAACACAACUUAAACAUGACUAAAAUAAACCAUUCAUUUUAGAUGUACACACCCCUGUGACACAAA
Micropterus dolomieu (smallmouth bass) is the source of this 889-nucleotide long non-coding RNA. RefSeq lists it as uncharacterized. The record is from RefSeq and is a predicted model, not a curated record. The transcript is spliced from 3 exons. Lineage: Eukaryota; Metazoa; Chordata; Actinopteri; Centrarchiformes; Centrarchidae.